Molecule: ribosomal RNA, 497 nt
Filed under: uncultured bacterium
Lineage: Bacteria
Description: partial 16S ribosomal RNA
Rfam family: Bacterial small subunit ribosomal RNA
Source: RNAcentral
GAUGAACGCUGGCGGCGUGCCUAAUACAUGCAAGUCGAGCGAACGGACGAGAAGCUUGCUUCUCUGAUGUUAGCGGCGGACGGGUGAGUGACACGUGGAUAACCUACCUAUAAGACUGGGAUAACUUCGGGAAACCGUAGCUAAUACCGGAUAAUAUUUUGAACCGCAUGGUUCAAAAGUGAAAGGCGGUCUUGCUGUCACUUAUAGAUGGAUCCGCGCUGCAUUAGCUAGUUGGUAAGGUAACGGCUUACCAAGGCAACGAUGCAUAGCCGACCUGAGAGGGUGAUCGGCCACACUGGAACUGAGACACGGUCCAGACUCCUACGGGAGGCAGCAGUAGGGAAUCUUCCGCAAUGGGCGAAAGCCUGACGGAGCAACGCCGCGUGAGUGAUGAAGGUCUUCGGAUCGUAAAACUCUGUUAUUAGGGAAGAACAUAUGUGUAAGUAACUGUGCACAUCUUGACGGUACCUAAUCAGAAAGCCACGGCUAACUACGUG